RNAcentral lists this ribosomal RNA (559 nucleotides) under uncultured Symbiodinium. Its description in RNAcentral is "partial Bacterial small subunit ribosomal RNA". It matches the Rfam family "Bacterial small subunit ribosomal RNA", at positions 338 to 890 of the family's 1533-position model. The record is from RNAcentral. Lineage: Eukaryota; Dinophyceae; Suessiales; Symbiodiniaceae.
CCUACGGGAGGCAGCAGUGGGGAAUAUUGGACAAUGGGCGAAAGCCUGAUCCAGCCAUGCCGCGUGUGUGAAGAAGGCCUUCGGGUUGUAAAGCACUUUUGGCGGGAACGAAAAGGACUGUGCCAAUACCACGGUUCGAUGACGGUACCCGCAGAAUAAGCACCGGCUAACUACGUGCCAGCAGCCGCGGUAAUACGUAGGGUGCGAGCGUUAAUCGGAAUUACUGGGCGUAAAGCGUACGCAGGCGGUUUGUUAAGCUAGAUGUGAAAGCCCCGGGCUCAACCUGGGAACUGCAUUUCGAACUGGCAAACUAGAGUAUGAUAGAGGGUGGUAGAAUUUCAGGUGUAGCGGUGAAAUGCGUAGAGAUCUGAAGGAAUACCGAUGGCGAAGGCAGCCACCUGGGUCAAUACUGACGCUCAUGUACGAAAGCGUGGGGAGCAAACGGGAUUAGAUACCCCGGUAGUCCACGCCGUAAACGAUGUCUACUAGGAGCUGGGGUCUUCGGACAACUUUUCCAAAGCUAACGCAUUAAGUAGACCGCCUGGGGAGUACGGCCGCA